This 253-nucleotide ribosomal RNA is filed under the name uncultured bacterium. RNAcentral describes it as "partial 16S ribosomal RNA". It matches the Rfam family "Bacterial small subunit ribosomal RNA", at positions 524 to 776 of the family's 1533-position model. The record is from RNAcentral.
CACGGGGGGAGCAAGCGUUGUUCGGAAUCACUGGGCGUAAAGGGCGUGUAGGCGGUCAGGUAAGUGAGAUGUGAAAUGCCUCGGCUCACCCGGGGACCGGCAUCUCAUACUGCUUGGCUUGAGUACGGGAGAGGAUGUGGGAAUUCCUGGUGUAGCGGUGAAAUGCGUAGAUAUCAGGAGGAACACCGGUGGCGAAGGCGCACAUCUGGCCCGAUACUGACGCUGAGGAGCGAAAGCCAGGGGAGCAAACGGG